CCAGCUGGCCCUGAGCGUGUGUGUAUCAGGGAACUGAAUGAACACCCUCAGCGUGGGCUGCCUGCCGGUGGUUCAGCCCUAUAUGGGGGUGUGGCGGCGGGGGCGUUACCCGGGAGGGAGGAACGUCAGCUGGGAGCCCCUGGGAACAGGUGGGCGCGGUGGGGGGAAGGUGGAACUGGGGGAAAGCGAAGGAGAGGAAAGACCAAUUUGGCUGUGAACUUGGCAUGCUCCAGGGGGCAUGGAGAAAGAGUCAAGGGACCGUGGGAGUUAGGACCAUUUUUUCCUGGCCUCCUUCCUCUGAAGGGAAGCUCUGGUACCAACAAAAAGGAAUUAACUGCCUUUCGGAGUGACUACGAAUGAUCCAUGCCUUUGCAUGGGGCGGCUUCAGUGGGAGGUGGAGUUGAAUCCAGGAGACCCACAAUUCCUGGAAUGAGCGCGAGAACGGGGUCGGGUGAGGACUGAACAAGACUCUAACUAGGUGGCCCGACGGCUUCACAGUGCUUUGAGAAUGCGAUUUAGACAGUUUGUGGGGUAAUUUUGCAUGUGUGGGAAGGAGAUAUGGGGGGGGGGGAGAAGGUAAUGAAUCCUUACCCAUGGGGGACAGCAGAUGGGUGGUGAUAAAACCCAAAUAAUUUUUCUAAUAUUCUCCAAAUUUUGAUCAAAUAGAAUUUAUUUAAGUUUUUCAAUUACAUGAGUAAACAAUAUACAUAGUGUUUACACACUCUCCUGAUGUGACUCAAUUUAUCCCAAACCUGAAUCACACAAUUAUUAAAAAAACAAAACACCCCAAAUCCAGCAAUUGACAGUCUCACAAAAAUUCACAUAAUUCCCCACUCUGUCCUUUGAUGUAGUUUUCUUUUAUUAAAAAAAAAAAAAGACUUCUUUUCAGGGCAGUUAGGAAGCACAGUGGAUAGAGUGCUGGGUCUGGAGUUGGGUUUCAAAUCUGGCCUCAGACACCUCCUAGGUGUGACCCCGGACAAGUCACUUAACCCCAAUUGCCUACUCCUUGCUGCUCCUCUAUCCUAGAAUUCGUACCAAGACAUAAAGUAAGGAUUAAAAAAAAGAAUGGCUUCUUUUCCCCCUCUCCCUCAAUGAGCUCACGACAUUCAUUAACAGCAUUUCCCUGUGAACACAGUUGUUACAAUCUCCAUUAUUUCGAGGGGAAAUUCAGGCCUUGAUGACACCCAAGGCUCCGCUGCGCAGCUAGCAACAUCCUGAGAUAAGGGCCUGGCCGACGAGGACGGUACACAGUGUGUUGAUGUUCUAUAAAUGUCACAAGAGGUCAGAGGUCACGCAUGCUUCACACAGUGUCCCGAGGUGGACA
This 1324-nucleotide long non-coding RNA is filed under the name Monodelphis domestica (gray short-tailed opossum). RNAcentral describes it as "lncRNA (ENSMODG00000049257.1)". Lineage: Eukaryota; Metazoa; Chordata; Mammalia; Didelphimorphia; Didelphidae. The record is from RNAcentral.